CGCAACCCUUGCCUUUAGUUGCCAGCAGUUCGGCUGGGCACUCUAAAGGGAACUGCCGGUGUUAAACCGGACGGAAGGUGGGGAGUGACGUCAAGUCCUCAUGGCCUUUAUGACCAGGGCUACACACGUACUACAAUGGCCGAUACAAAGGGCUGCGACACUGCGAGGUGAAGCCAAUCCCGUAAAAUCGGUCUCAGUCCGGAUUGGAGUCUGCAACUCGACUCCAUGAAGUUGGAAUCGCUAGUAAUCGUGGAUCAGCAUGCCACGGUGAAUACGUUCCCGGGCCUU
Molecule: ribosomal RNA, 288 nt
Filed under: uncultured Desulfobulbus sp.
Lineage: Bacteria; Pseudomonadati; Thermodesulfobacteriota; Desulfobulbia; Desulfobulbales; Desulfobulbaceae
Description: partial 16S ribosomal RNA
Rfam family: Bacterial small subunit ribosomal RNA
Source: RNAcentral